This 39-nucleotide non-coding RNA is filed under the name Trypanosoma brucei brucei. Lineage: Eukaryota; Euglenozoa; Kinetoplastea; Trypanosomatida; Trypanosomatidae. The record is from RNAcentral.
AAACACAAUACAAUGACAGUGAUAAUGAUAUUAGUGAGA